AGAGUUUGAUCAUGGCUCAGAUUGAACGCUGGCGGCAUGCCUAACACAUGCAAGUCGAACGGCAGCACAGCAGUAGCAAUACUGUGGGUGGCGAGUGGCGGACGGGUGAGUAAUGCAUCGGGACCUACCCAGACGUGGGGGAUAACCUCGGGAAACCGGGACUAAUACCGCAUACGUCCUACGGGAGAAAGCGGGGGACCUUCGGGCCUCGCGCGGUUGGACGGACCGAUGUGCGAUUAGCUAGUUGGUAGGGUAAUGGCCUACCAAGGCGACGAUCGCUAGCUGGUCUGAGAGGAUGAUCAGCCACACUGGGACUGAGACACGGCCCAGACUCCUACGGGAGGCAGCAGUGGGGAAUAUUGGACAAUGGGCGCAAGCCUGAUCCAGCAAUGCCGCGUGUGUGAAGAAGGCCUUCGGGUUGUAAAGCACUUUUAUCAGGAACGAAAUACCACGGGUUAAUAACCUAUGGGGCUGACGGUACCUGAGGAAUAAGCACCGGCUAACUUCGUGCCAGCAGCCGCGGUAAUACGAAGGGUGCAAGCGUUAAUCGGAAUUACUGGGCGUAAAGGGUGCGUAGGCGGUUGUUUAAGUCUGUCGUGAAAUCCCCGGGCUCAACCUGGGAAUGGCGAUGGAUACUGGGCAGCUAGAGUGUGUCA
This 656-nucleotide ribosomal RNA is filed under the name uncultured bacterium. RNAcentral describes it as "bacterial SSU rRNA". It matches the Rfam family "Bacterial small subunit ribosomal RNA", at positions 8 to 653 of the family's 1533-position model. The record is from RNAcentral.